GGGCCAAUAGGUAAGUGGUAUACCGACCCGCUCGCAGCGGGUAGUCCCGAGUUCGAUUCUCGGUUGGUCCA
RNAcentral lists this transfer RNA (71 nucleotides) under Candidatus Microgenomates bacterium. Its description in RNAcentral is "tRNA-Ala". It matches the Rfam family "tRNA". From Rfam's summary of the family: Transfer RNA (tRNA) molecules are approximately 80 nucleotides in length. Their secondary structure includes four short double-helical elements and three loops (D, anti-codon, and T loops). Lineage: Bacteria; Candidatus Microgenomatota. The record is from RNAcentral.